UUGACAGUAAGCAAGCUAGGGUUUUUUCCUUUGACAGACUGCGGCCGCUCUGGCGCGGUUCUCCGCAUUGGGCGAACUUCAGGUGGUCUGCCCGUGGAGCUUUCUUGGGGUUUUCUCUGACUCACGGCCUCUAUCAUCUUCCUCUGCCCCGAAAAUUUAGAAACCUAAGACGUUUGUGUCCAUUCUUGCGGGAACAGAAGAGAAUAAUGUUUCCAUCAGUCAGCUUCCUUCCUCUACAAUUCGUGGUGAUACUGUGUUCGUCAAGAUAUAUAUAUUAAUGAAGCGAUCUACCAGGAGCAACUCAAGGCAUAUCGCACCAACCUGAUUGGGCGUCUUCAUCUUCGGAAAGAUUCAACUCCAAUGAAAAUGGAGGCUUUAAAAGCCUCUCUGAAUUAUGGCAGCCACUGGGUCCGGAGGCUGGUUCCAAUUGGCAAGGGGUAUUAUGAUCUCCAUUUUGAUUCGGAAGCUGACCUGCGCAAGGUUUGGGGUGGUGGCACCUGCACACUUGAGUCAGGAAUAUUUCGGCUGUCGCAAUGGCAGCCGCGGGGGAUGUUCUUCCUUAAACCCAUACUCAAAUAUGGAUAAGAAUCUUUGGUCUUAGCCAUGAGUACUGGCAUCAGCAACACAUCAUGGAAAUUCCCCGUGAUGUGGGCAUUUCGUUACAACUUGAUGCGGCAACAAAGGAGCAGAGAUUUGGGUACUAUGCUCGGGUAUUCGUAGAUGUUGAUCUGCUUGGUCCUCUCCCUUCAUCUAUCAUGGUUGAAAGAGAGAUUGAUUAUGAGAAUCUACCUCCUCGAUGCAACCAUUGUGGUCUUAUUGGACAUGAGACACCGAAUUAAUUGUAGGCAGCUGUCAACUGUAGAAAAUCAAAUCAUCAAAAUAUGGAUAAGUAUGAUGGCAGAGUUCGUAUCAGUAGAAAGCUGAGGAGUUCAGCGUCGAUGAGUGAAAUAGAGGCAAAGCUUGAAGCCGAACUUGAGAGGUUGGGGCUAAACACGAAUAGUUCUACUUUGGAGAGAAGAUUUACUGAUCAUGAUGAGGUUCUUGAAGAGAAGAGGAAGGCUCUGGCUACACUGAGAAGAAAAGAGUUGACUUGGGCAAAGAGCUGAUGUCUAUGCAGCAGCUCACAAAAAAGAGGAUGAAGAAGAAGCUGAUCUUGAGGCUGAUGCCCAAGAGUGGCAGCCCUUCAGAUCAAAUCAGAAAUGAGCUGCUGAUCAAAUCAGAAAUGAGCUGCUCACUAUGACAGAAGAUGCACCAACAGCAGAUAAACCAACUGGCAAGACAUCGAAAGAACUAAUGUAGAACAAUUGGUUUAAACUGAAAAUGUAAUAUAUUGUUGUUAUCACUAAUCACUUUUGUAGAGUAUGGGUGCUCACGCAUGGGUUCAUCACCCUCCAUUCUCCAUAGUUUUGGUUCUUGGCUCUGGUGCUAGGUCCUCCUUCGACAGCCAUGACGCUUUCUUGGUAUGGGUCUCUAUGGUGGAGAGUAUGGUGUUGUUUUGAGGGAUUUUAUCCCUUGGAUUGUUGGAUUUCAUAUGAUUUGUGUUAUAGACUUUGAUUGGCAUCGGAUGUACAGUAUGGAACUACCUGGUGUUCUGCUUCCUGCAACACAUCGGCAGUUCUGCGUGGUCGGCGGCGCGAGGUGGUCUGCAGUAGCUAGGUUUUCUGUAUUGGAUUGGGCUUAUUCUUUGGGCUUUUAUUUCAGUUGUUUUAUGAGGGUGUCAUUUCCUUAUACUGGCUCUUGUUGAGCCCAGUAGAAAAUUAAAUUUCCUUUACUUUAUUA
Molecule: RNA transcript, 1779 nt
Organism: Rosa chinensis
Lineage: Eukaryota; Viridiplantae; Streptophyta; Magnoliopsida; Rosales; Rosaceae
Exons: 5
Source: RefSeq, a predicted model, not a curated record